Phrynosoma platyrhinos (Desert horned lizard) is the source of this 66-nucleotide non-coding RNA. The record is from the annotation of a GenBank genome assembly. Lineage: Eukaryota; Metazoa; Chordata; Lepidosauria; Squamata; Phrynosomatidae.
GUCUGGCAUAGUGGUUUGAGUGUUGGACUGUGACUCUGGAGUCCAAGGUUUGAUUCCCAGCAGACA